GAUGAACGCUGGCGGCGUGCCUAAUACAUGCAAGUCGAGCGAACGGACGAGAAGCUUGCUUCUCUGAUGUUAGCGGCGGACGGGUGAGUAACACGUGGAUAACCUACCUAUAAGACUGGGAUAACUUCGGGAAACCGGAGCUAAUACCGGAUAAUAUUUUGAACCGCAUGGUUCAAAAGUGAAAGACGGUCUUGCUGUCACUUAUAGAUGGAUCCGCGCUGCAUUAGCUAGUUGGUAAGGUAACGGCUUACCAAGGCAACGAUGCAUAGCCGACCUGAGAGGGUGAUCGGCCACACUGGAACUGAGACACGGUCCAGACUCCUACGGGAGGCAGCAGUAGGGAAUCUUCCGCAAUGGGCGAAAGCCUGACGGAGCAACGCCGCGUGAGUGAUGAAGGUCUUCGGAUCGUAAAACUCUGUUAUUAGGGAAGAACAUAUGUGUAAGUAACUGUGCACAUCUUGACGGUACCUAAUCAGAAAGCCACGGCUAACUACGUGCCAGCAGCCGCGGUAAUACGUAGGUGGCAAGCGUUAUCCGGAAUUAUUGGGCGUAAAGCGCGCGUAGGCGGUUUUUUAAGUCUGAUGUGAAAGCCCACGGCUCAACCGUGGAGGGUCAUUGGAAACUGGAAAACUUGAGUGCAGAAGAGGAAAGUGGAAUUCCAUGUGUAGCGGUGAAAUGCGCAGAGAUAUGGAGGAACACCAGUGGCGAAGGCGACUUUCUGGUCUGUAACUGACGCUGAUGUGCGAAAGCGUGGGGAUCAAACAGGAUUAGAUACCCUGGUAGUCCACGCCGUAAACGAUGAGUGCUAAGUGUUAGGGGGUUUCCUCCCCUUAGUGCUGCAGCUAACGCAUUAAGCACUCCGCCUGGGGAGUACGACCGCAAGGUUGAAACUCAAAGGAAUUGACGGGGACCCGCACAAGCGGUGGAGCAUGUGGUUUAAUUCGAAGCAACGCGAAGAACCUUACCAAAUCUUGACAUCCUUUGACAACUCUAGAGAUAGAGCCUUCCCCUUCGGGGGACAAAGUGACAGGUGGUGCAUGGUUGUCGUCAGCUCGUGUCGUGAGAUGUUGGGUUAAGUCCCGCAACGAGCGCAACCCUUAAGCUUAGUUGCCAUCAUUAGGUUGGGCACUCUAAGUUGACUGCCGGUGACAAACCGGAGGAAGGUGGGGAUGACGUCAAAUCAUCAUGCCCCUUAUGAUUUGGGCUACACACGUGCUACAAUGGACAAUACAAAGGGCAGCGAAACCGCGAGGUCAAGCAAAUCCCAUAAAGUUGUUCUCAGUUCGGAUUGUAGUCUGCAACUCGACUACAUGAAGCUGGAAUCGCUAGUAAUCGUAGAUCAGCAUGCUACGGUGAAUACGUUCCCGGGUCU
RNAcentral lists this ribosomal RNA (1372 nucleotides) under uncultured bacterium. Its description in RNAcentral is "bacterial SSU rRNA". It matches the Rfam family "Bacterial small subunit ribosomal RNA", at positions 28 to 1381 of the family's 1533-position model. The record is from RNAcentral.